UUUAGAGCGUCGGAAUUGCAAUCCGGAGGCCCCGAGUUCAAUCCCGUCCUUA
This 52-nucleotide transfer RNA is filed under the name uncultured Symbiodinium. Its description in RNAcentral is "partial tRNA". Lineage: Eukaryota; Dinophyceae; Suessiales; Symbiodiniaceae. The record is from RNAcentral.